GAACGCCGUGUGCGUUGAAAGGCGCACGCACGGUGUGAGGUGGGGGAAAAGGAGCCUGGACGGGUAAUGCCGUCGGAGUAUCCUUACCUAUCACUAU
Molecule: non-coding RNA, 97 nt
Filed under: Desulfoscipio geothermicus
Lineage: Bacteria; Bacillati; Bacillota; Clostridia; Eubacteriales; Desulfallaceae
Source: RNAcentral